AUGCCGUAGUGUGGGCAUGCUUGAAUGUACUCCUGGAGACAUUCCCAUACUUCCGGAAUGCUCUCAUCUGGCAAUUAUUGAAUUCCAGUAAUCCUGUUCCGGAGGGC
Small nucleolar RNA from Panicum virgatum (switchgrass), 107 nucleotides. NCBI's taxonomy places the organism in Eukaryota, Viridiplantae, Streptophyta, Magnoliopsida, Poales, Poaceae. The record is from RefSeq and is a predicted model, not a curated record.